This is a microRNA precursor of Gossypium raimondii (Peruvian cotton), 87 nucleotides long. It matches the Rfam family "MIR7486 microRNA precursor family". NCBI's taxonomy places the organism in Eukaryota, Viridiplantae, Streptophyta, Magnoliopsida, Malvales, Malvaceae. The record is from Rfam.
CACGUCAGCGUGCUUUGCUGAUGUGGCAACAAAUCGCGCCCUCGAGGACACAAUUUGUUGCCAUGUCAGCAAAGCGCGCUGAUGUUG